UAAUAGGAACAUAAGAGCUGACGGUGGAUGCCUAGGCUCUAACAAGCGAUGAAAGACGUGAUCAGGCUGCGAUAAGUUUCGGGGAGGUGCCUUAUAACCUUCGAUCCGGAAAUUUCUGAAUGAGGAAACUCAAUACGAGUAAUGUCGUAUUGUCUAAUGGAGCAUUCCAUAGACGCACACCCAGGGAAGUGAAACAUCUCAGUACCUGGAGGAAAAGAAACUAAAACAAGAAUUCCGCAAGUAGCGGCGAGCGAAAACGGAACAGCCCAAACCGUAGGUAGUAAUACCUAGCGGGGUAGUAAGACAGAGACGUAGUUUACUAGAAGAGUUACAAAAGGUAAGUAUAGAUAAAGUUGUUGGAAAGCAACGCCAAAGAAAGUGAUAGCCUUGUUAUCGAAAUACUUACCCCUCUUUUGUCUCUGAUCUUGAGUAAUUCGAGACACGAAUAGCUCGGAUGAAUCAGCCGGAACUAACCGGUAAGGCUAAAUAUUGUUAGAGACCGAUAGUGAACUAGUACCGUGAGGGAAAGGUGAAAAGAACCCCGGAAGGGGAGUGAAAUAGAACUGAAACCGUCAGUUUACAAAGAGUAGAAGAGGUGUUUACACCUCGACUGCGUGCCUAUUGAAGAAUGAGCCAACGAGUUGUAGGUAACUGCAGGCUAAGGGGUAUAAAGUCCUGGAGCCAUAGCGAAAGCAAGUGUGAAUAGCGCGACCCAAUUGUAGUUACUUACAGACCCGAAGCCGAAUGAGCUUACCAUGAGCAGGGUGAAGUAUAUCGAAAGGUAUAUGGAGGCCCGAACCAGUAGGUUGUACGACUCCUUUGGAUGACUUGUGGUAAGGAGUGAAAAGCUAAUCGAAUUCGGUAAUAGCUGGUUCUCUCCGAAAUAGUUUUUGGACUAGCGUCGUGUGUUC
This 911-nucleotide ribosomal RNA is filed under the name Minisyncoccota bacterium. RNAcentral describes it as "partial 23S ribosomal RNA". It matches the Rfam family "Bacterial large subunit ribosomal RNA", at positions 1 to 891 of the family's 2925-position model. Lineage: Bacteria; Bacillati; Minisyncoccota. The record is from RNAcentral.